CUACGGGUUGCUCCAGUAAGGAAUAUUGGGCAAUGGACGAAAGUCUGACCCAGCCAUGCCGCGUGCAGGAUGAUAGCCCUACGGGUUGUAAACUGCUUUUAUAUGGGAAAAAACCCCCGGACGUGUUCGGGGCUGAUGGUACCAUAUGAAUAAGCAUCGGCUAACUCCGUGCCAGCAGCCGCGGUAAUACGGAGGAUGCAAGCGUUAUCCGGAUUCAUUGGGUUUAAAGGGUGCGCAGGCGGAAUGGUAAGUCAGUGGUGAAAUCCUACAGCUUAACUGUAGAACUGCCAUUGAUACUGUCAUUCUUGAGUACAUAUGAAGUGGGCGGAAUGUGUCAUGUAGCGGUGAAAUGCAUAGAUAUGACACAGAACACCGAUAGCGAAGGCAGCUCACUAAAUUGUAACUGACGCUCAUGCACGAAAGCGUGGGGAGCAAACAGGAUUAGAUACCCGGGUAGUC
This 459-nucleotide ribosomal RNA is filed under the name uncultured bacterium. RNAcentral describes it as "partial 16S ribosomal RNA". It matches the Rfam family "Bacterial small subunit ribosomal RNA", at positions 339 to 795 of the family's 1533-position model. The record is from RNAcentral.